Molecule: non-coding RNA, 215 nt
Organism: Paramuricea clavata
Lineage: Eukaryota; Metazoa; Cnidaria; Anthozoa; Malacalcyonacea; Plexauridae
Source: the annotation of a GenBank genome assembly
UCCACUGUUGCAUUUUUCAUACGUACGUAUACGCACGUAAAACUUUAAAUCCGUUUAAAUGUUACUUAUGAAAUAACCAAAUAAAUAAAGCAACAGAAUUUAGUGUUCCGCAAGUUUUAGUAUGCAUUUAUUAAAUUAUUUGUAAAAUAUUUAAAAAAUAGAAGGAUUCAAAGUUUUACGUGCGUGUACGUGCGUAGAAAAAACGCGACAGUGGA